CAGAGCUGCUCUCAGAACUUGACAAUGUAAUGUCAGAUCCGCUUGAUGUUCCGCGGUCACCAUUUACCUCAGGAUUGUGGACGGAAUUGUUUAGUAGUCCAACUUCAUUCGAAUUGCUCUUAAUGUCUUCCGCUUCACUAUUGCUUAAGAGAGUGUUCAGAGUUCUAUUCCAGGUUUUGAUGUUUGCAUUUUCAGUUUCCUCCACAUCUCUUUGA
This 215-nucleotide unclassified non-coding RNA is filed under the name Hevea brasiliensis (rubber tree). Lineage: Eukaryota; Viridiplantae; Streptophyta; Magnoliopsida; Malpighiales; Euphorbiaceae. The record is from RNAcentral.